This 65-nucleotide transfer RNA is filed under the name Dipodomys ordii (Ord's kangaroo rat). It matches the Rfam family "tRNA". Rfam says of the family: Transfer RNA (tRNA) molecules are approximately 80 nucleotides in length. Their secondary structure includes four short double-helical elements and three loops (D, anti-codon, and T loops). Further hydrogen bonds mediate the characteristic L-shaped molecular structure. tRNAs have two regions of fundamental functional importance: the anti-codon, which is responsible for specific mRNA codon recognition, and the 3' end, to which the tRNAs corresponding amino acid is attached (by aminoacyl-tRNA synthetases). tRNAs cope with the degeneracy of the genetic code in two manners: having more than one tRNA (with a specific anti-codon) for a particular amino acid; and 'wobble' base-pairing, i.e. permitting non-standard base-pairing at the 3rd anti-codon position. The record is from Rfam by way of RNAcentral. Lineage: Eukaryota; Metazoa; Chordata; Mammalia; Rodentia; Heteromyidae.
GGUGGCUCAGUGGUAGAGCGCUUGCCUUACAUGCCUUGAGGCCCUGGGUUCGAUUCCCAGCACCA